Molecule: long non-coding RNA, 764 nt
Filed under: Corvus moneduloides (New Caledonian crow)
Lineage: Eukaryota; Metazoa; Chordata; Aves; Passeriformes; Corvidae
Description: lncRNA (ENSCMUG00000018976.1)
Source: RNAcentral
UGCCGAACAGCACAGCGCAGCGUCGCGCAGCCCGCCUGGAGCCCCCUCCCUCCCUCCUCCCUCCCUCCUUCCAUCCAUCCCUCCCUCUCUCCUCCUCCUCCCUCGCUCCCGCCCGCCCGCCCGCCGCUCUGAAGGAUGCCCGGUAAGUAGCGACGAGGACCGGCACCUCUGCCGGUGCGCGAUGUGAGGGGUUAGGGACUGCUUAUACCGCUGCCGCCCGCCGGGGGGGCGCAGGGCGGGGGGGCGAGGGGAGGGGAGGUGACAGCGAUCCGAGGCAGGAGACGGCGGGGCUCGCCGGGUGCUCCUCAGAAGGACUUUUAGCUGCGUGGCCGGGGCUUGGAUGUGGGCGCCGAGGGACGGGGUCUGUGCACCGCAGCGGGCACCGGCCGGGGCGGGGGCGCUUCGCCUGCGCUGCGGGUUGCUGCCUGCAGCACCGCGGUCCCACCUGGGGUGAAAACAUGGGAAGACAUCAGGCUCUCUACGGUGAUGACUCUCCUGUACAUGAUCUGGUGUGUGACAUGAGCUGGGCUCCCAGCAUGACUGCAGUGUUGGAAUCCCUUUGAGAUACUCAGGUAGGACAAAUUUUCAACAGCUGCCUUGGUAGCUAAUUAGCUCUAUCCAGGCUUUGAUAUUUGGUUCAGUCAGUACAUGAUGAAAAGACUUAUUUACAUAUUUUCCACCUGUUGCCUGUUUUUCUAUUAUCCUAGGGUUUCUGAAAGUGCAGUAUAAUGCCAAGCUUUCCCGGAGUGAUAGUGUGUUUGAAC